This 375-nucleotide ribosomal RNA is filed under the name Escherichia coli. Its description in RNAcentral is "bacterial SSU rRNA". It matches the Rfam family "Bacterial small subunit ribosomal RNA", at positions 1169 to 1533 of the family's 1533-position model. Lineage: Bacteria; Pseudomonadati; Pseudomonadota; Gammaproteobacteria; Enterobacterales; Enterobacteriaceae. RNAcentral also lists the same sequence under 1 other name. The record is from RNAcentral.
GAAGGUGGGGAUGACGUCAAGUCAUCAUGGCCCUUACGACCAGGGCUACACACGUGCUACAAUGGCGCAUACAAAGAGAAGCGACCUCGCGAGAGCAAGCGGACCUCAUAAAGUGCGUCGUAGUCCGGAUUGGAGUCUGCAACUCGACUCCAUGAAGUCGGAAUCGCUAGUAAUCGUGGAUCAGAAUGCCACGGUGAAUACGUUCCCGGGCCUUGUACACACCGCCCGUCACACCAUGGGAGUGGGUUGCAAAAGAAGUAGGUAGCUUAACCUUCGGGAGGGCGCUUACCACUUUGUGAUUCAUGACUGGGGUGAAGUCGUAACAAGGUAACCGUAGGGGAACCUGCGGUUGGAUCACCUCCUUACCUUAAAGAA